UUUUAUUCUACUGACGAUUGACUCUCUCUAUUGCAACUGAAAUGUCACAUCGAGCGAAUAGAUAAUAUAUGUAUAGAAACUUUCGAAGGGAUUGCAUGCAAAUAUGUUUGUAAUAUUUCUCCCCCAUUGCACAAGGACACUGUGAUCUUGAGAGGCAGGUUCGACAUUAUAACCACCAAUACAAUCCCACGCGCCUCCUUGUUCGGAAGACGGUACCACUCAAGCAUGCAAGAUGUUCUAGCUACUUUCUCUGCCUGUUAUUGAUAUGAUCAAGAAUAAUUGUGGCACAGAUAUAAUGUUUACCAUAAAAAUAAAUAGACAAAUGUACCUGAACAGUAAGCUGUUCACCAGUAUAACAAAACAUGAACAUGUUUAUCAUCAUGGAUAUAAGUGAUG
Long non-coding RNA from Solenopsis invicta (red fire ant), 396 nucleotides. RefSeq lists it as uncharacterized. NCBI's taxonomy places the organism in Eukaryota, Metazoa, Arthropoda, Insecta, Hymenoptera, Formicidae. The record is from RefSeq and is a predicted model, not a curated record. The transcript is spliced from 3 exons.